GCCUCCUUAGCUCAGCUGGUAGAGCAACUGACUUGUAAUCAGUAGGUCGUUGGUUCGAUUCCGACAGGGGGCUC
This 74-nucleotide transfer RNA is filed under the name Bacteroidetes bacterium OLB12. RNAcentral describes it as "tRNA-Thr". It matches the Rfam family "tRNA". From Rfam's summary of the family: Transfer RNA (tRNA) molecules are approximately 80 nucleotides in length. Their secondary structure includes four short double-helical elements and three loops (D, anti-codon, and T loops). Further hydrogen bonds mediate the characteristic L-shaped molecular structure. tRNAs have two regions of fundamental functional importance: the anti-codon, which is responsible for specific mRNA codon recognition, and the 3' end, to which the tRNAs corresponding amino acid is attached (by aminoacyl-tRNA synthetases). tRNAs cope with the degeneracy of the genetic code in two manners: having more than one tRNA (with a specific anti-codon) for a particular amino acid; and 'wobble' base-pairing, i.e. permitting non-standard base-pairing at the 3rd anti-codon position. Lineage: Bacteria; Pseudomonadati; Bacteroidota. RNAcentral also lists the same sequence under 2 other names. The record is from RNAcentral.